This 52-nucleotide microRNA precursor is filed under the name Pteropus alecto (black flying fox). RNAcentral describes it as "mir-1302 microRNA precursor family". It matches the Rfam family "mir-1302 microRNA precursor family". Lineage: Eukaryota; Metazoa; Chordata; Mammalia; Chiroptera; Pteropodidae. RNAcentral also lists the same sequence under 1 other name. The record is from Rfam by way of RNAcentral.
AUUUUAGUAUAACUGUGUCUUAUGCAAUAUUUGAGAUAUACUUAUGCUAACA